GAUAAACGCUAGCGGCAGGCUUAACACAUGCAAGUCGAGGGGCAGCAUAGAUUGUAGCAAUACAAUUGGUGGCGACCGGCGCACGGGUGCGUAACGCGUAUGCAACCUGCCCGUCACAGGGGGAUAAUCCGGAGAAAUCUGGUCUAAUACCCCAUAACAUAUGGAUCGGCAUCGGUUCAUGUUGAAAUUUUCGGAGGUGACGGAUGGGCAUGCGUAGCAUUAGCUUGUUGGUGAGGUAACGGCUCACCAAGGCGACGAUGCUUAGGGGGACUGAGAGGUUUUCCCCCCACACUGGAACUGAGACACGGACCAGACUCCUACGGGAGGCAGCAGUGAGGAGUAUUGGUCAAUGGGCGCAAGCCUGAACCAGCCAUGCCGCGUGCAGGAUGACGGCUCUAUGAGUUGUAAACUGCUUCUGUACGAGGGUAAAGUGGGUUACGUGUAACCUUUUGAAAGUAUCGUACGAAUAAGGAUCGGCUAACUCCGUGCCAGCAGCCGCAGUAA
This 504-nucleotide ribosomal RNA is filed under the name uncultured bacterium. RNAcentral describes it as "partial 16S ribosomal RNA". It matches the Rfam family "Bacterial small subunit ribosomal RNA", at positions 28 to 523 of the family's 1533-position model. The record is from RNAcentral.